Molecule: ribosomal RNA, 615 nt
Filed under: uncultured Lachnospiraceae bacterium
Lineage: Bacteria; Bacillati; Bacillota; Clostridia; Lachnospirales; Lachnospiraceae
Description: bacterial SSU rRNA
Rfam family: Bacterial small subunit ribosomal RNA
Source: RNAcentral
CGGACGGGUGAGUAACGCGUGGGUAACCUGCCUCAUACAGGGGGAUAACAGUUGGAAACGACUGCUAAUACCGCAUAAGCGCACAGGAUCGCAUGAUCCGGUGUGAAAAACUCCGGUGGUAUGAGAUGGACCCGCGUCUGAUUAGCCAGUUGGCAGGGUAACGGCCUACCAAAGCGACGAUCAGUAGCCGACCUGAGAGGGUGACCGGCCACAUUGGGACUGAGACACGGCCCAAACUCCUACGGGAGGCAGCAGUGGGGAAUAUUGCACAAUGGGGGAAACCCUGAUGCAGCGACGCCGCGUGAGCGAAGAAGUAUUUCGGUAUGUAAAGCUCUAUCAGCAGGGAAGAAGAAUGACGGUACCUGACUAAGAAGCACCGGCUAAAUACGUGCCAGCAGCCGCGGUAAUACGUAUGGUGCAAGCGUUAUCCGGAUUUACUGGGUGUAAAGGGAGCGCAGGCGGUGCGGCAAGUCUGAUGUGAAAGCCCGGGGCUCAACCCCGGUACUGCAUUGGAAACUGUCGUACUAGAGUGUCGGAGGGGUAAGUGGAAUUCCUAGUGUAGCGGUGAAAUGCGUAGAUAUUAGGAGGAACACCAGUGGCGAAGGCGGCUUACUG